This 519-nucleotide ribosomal RNA is filed under the name uncultured bacterium. Its description in RNAcentral is "bacterial SSU rRNA". It matches the Rfam family "Bacterial small subunit ribosomal RNA", at positions 8 to 518 of the family's 1533-position model. The record is from RNAcentral.
AGGGUUCGAUUCUGGCUCAGGACGAACGCUGGCGGCGUGCUUAACACAUGCAAGUCGAACGAGGAUUAUGGUUGGAAGGGCUUCGGCCUGGAAGGCGUAAUUCGAGUGGCGGACGGGUGAGUAACGCGUGAACAAUCUGUCCCGGACAGGGGAAUAACACUUGGAAACAGGUGCUAAUACCGCAUAAGACCACGCCCUCGCAGUGGGGGAGGGGUAAAAGGAGGAAUCCGGGUUCGGGGUGAGUUCGCGUCCGAUUAGAUAGUUGGUGAGGUAACGGCCCACCAAGUCGACGAUCGGUAGCCGACCUGAGAGGGUGAUCGGCCACAUUGGAACUGAGAGACGGUCCAAACUCCUACGGGAGGCAGCAGUGGGGAAUAUUGGGCAAUGGGCGAAAAAGCCUGACCCAGCAACGCCGCGUGAGUGAAGAAGGCUUUCGGGUUGUAAAGCUCUGUUAUAGGGGACGAAGGAAGUGACGGUACCCUAUAAGGAAGCCCCGGCUAACUACGUGCCAGCCGCUGC